AUUGCUGGUCCCUCUCUGUGCUCUGAAGUUCACUCUACUGAGCUACGUGGGUGCAGUCAUCUGUGACUCUAGAAUGAUAAUCUUUUGAUGUGGAAAUCUCGGUGCUGUUAAAGUAUCGGUAUUUUUGCAAGUGGUGUCACAACCAUGAUUUUUCUGCAUGUGAAGUCUGAUUCUGGCAUGAAUCACAGCUCUUUGAGAUCCACCUCUUUCAGGAGGUCUGCACAGCUAUCCGUGAACUAGAGCAUCCUAUAAAGAGCUGAG
Long non-coding RNA from Lepidothrix coronata (blue-crowned manakin), 261 nucleotides. RefSeq lists it as uncharacterized. Lineage: Eukaryota; Metazoa; Chordata; Aves; Passeriformes; Pipridae. The transcript has 3 exons. The record is from RefSeq and is a predicted model, not a curated record.